UACUGGGGACGGAGGGUAGCCGAUGGGGCCCUGAGCAGGACGUGCCUCUUCUGGACUUGACCACAGAACCCAAGCAUGGUUCAAGCGAUUCUCCUGCUUCAGCCUCCUGAGUAGUUGGGAUUACAGAUGCCCGCCACCGCACCCAGUCACAGAUGGACUCUGAGAGAGAAAAUAGCACCCCUGUCCAAACAUCACAUGCCUGGCGGAGGAACGCAGCCUGGCCUGUGCAGCCGAAUGUUGGAGAGUGCACCUUCCUCUCUUAUUUUGUUUUAUUUCCAGGGAAAGGGAAAGGAAGACAUGCAGGUAAUUUAUCAACUAAAUUACAGGCUGACUGAUAAUAAAGCUCCCCGCCCCACAAAAAAAGGAAA
Molecule: long non-coding RNA, 368 nt
Filed under: Homo sapiens (human)
Lineage: Eukaryota; Metazoa; Chordata; Mammalia; Primates; Hominidae
Description: non-protein coding LINC01939:6
Source: RNAcentral